UUUUUUCCUUCCCCAUUAGUUUCUAUAUAGAGUUUUACUUUUGGUUUUUCUAGGUUAGUCUAGUUCUGCAAGUUUUUUUUCUUCUCUGGAUUUUGCUAAGAUGGUGGAAUUCUUUCUUAUGCUUCAGACUUUGAAGAACAAAAUGUUUGGCUUCUCUAGUAGGCAUAUGAAACUUGCCAGAGACUACAAUCAAUAGAGAAUCGAGCCCCUACUCCUAGAAAACCUUCUCACGAAUGAUGCUUUGCAAGGUCAAAUGAUGUCAUGCCUAUGAACUUCAGCACAAAUGAUGAGACAAUCCUUCUAUAUUAUGUGGACUCAAUCUAUCAGGGGAAGUGCAAUUGGAUGAUUGCGCUGAAGACCUACAGAGACAGAAGCACAUUUUAUAGAACUUACCUUUUGGCUGAGAAAAUUGGAUCUGUAAUGAUGUUUUUUAACCAUUGAGCUUCACCUUUCUUGAUAGAGUUCAUUAGUCCCAGUAUAAUUAAACCGUGGUCAAAUAAAUGAUAAUUAAAU
This 513-nucleotide small RNA is filed under the name Vigna angularis var. angularis. RNAcentral's name for it is "Non-protein coding transcript". Lineage: Eukaryota; Viridiplantae; Streptophyta; Magnoliopsida; Fabales; Fabaceae. The record is from RNAcentral.